AAUUCGAUUAGAGUUUGAUCCUGGCUCAGAACGAACGCUGGCGGCAGGCCUAACACAUGCAAGUCGAACGCACCUUCGGGUGAGCGGCGGACGGGUUAGUAACGCGUGGGAACGUGCCCAGAUCUAAGGAAUAGCCACUGGAAACGGUGAGUAAUACCUUAUACGCCCUUCGGGGGAAAGAUUUAUCGGAUUUGGAUCGGCCCGCGUUAGAUUAGAUAGUUGGUGGGGUAAUGGCCUACCAAGUCUACGAUCUAUAGCUGGUUUUAGAGGAUGAUCAGCAACACUGGGACUGAGACACGGCCCAGACUCCUACGGGAGGCAGCAGUGGGGAAUCUUGGACAAUGGGCGCAAGCCUGAUCCAGCCAUGCCGCGUGAGUGAUGAAGGCCUUAGGGUCGUAAAGCUCUUUCGCCAGAGAUGAUAAUGACAGUAUCUGGUAAAGAAACCCCGGCUAACUCCGUGCCAGCAGCCGCGGUAAUACGGAGGGGGUUAGCGUUGUUCGGAAUUACUGGGCGUAAAGCGCACGUAGGCGGACUGGAAAGUUGGGGGUGAAAUCCCGGGGCUCAACCCCGGAACUGCCUCCAAAACUAUCAGUCUAGAGUUCGAGAGAGGUGAGUGGAAUUCCGAGUGUAGAGGUGAAAUUCGUAGAUAUUCGGAGGAACACCAGUGGCGAAGGCGGCUCACUGGCUCGAUACUGACGCUGAGGUGCGAAAGUGUGGGGAGCAAACAGGAUUAGAUACCCUGGUAGUCCACACCGUAAACGAUGAAUGCCAGUCGUCGGG
RNAcentral lists this ribosomal RNA (780 nucleotides) under uncultured bacterium. RNAcentral's name for it is "bacterial SSU rRNA". It matches the Rfam family "Bacterial small subunit ribosomal RNA", at positions 1 to 827 of the family's 1533-position model. The record is from RNAcentral.